RNAcentral lists this ribosomal RNA (286 nucleotides) under uncultured bacterium. RNAcentral describes it as "partial 16S ribosomal RNA". It matches the Rfam family "Bacterial small subunit ribosomal RNA", at positions 66 to 354 of the family's 1533-position model. The record is from RNAcentral.
CCGUAGACCCGGAAGGGCGCGGGCCUUAGUGGCGGACGGGUGAGUAACGCGUGGGGAACCUGCCCCGUACCGGGGGAUAACACCUGGAAACAGGUGCUAAUACCGCAUAACAGAAGGGGACGCAUGUUCCUUUCUUGAAAACUCCGGUGGUACGGGAUGGACCCGCGUCUGAUUAGCUGGUUGGCGGGGUAACGGCCCACCAAGGCGACGAUCAGUAGCCGGCCUGAGAGGGCGGACGGCCACAUUGGGACUGAGACACGGCCCAAACUCCUACGGAAGGCAGCAG